UCUCCUCUUCUCCACUCCUCCUCUCACCUGUCUCUCCUCUUCUCCCUUUCCGCUUCCCUUUUCCUUCCCCCUCCAGGUGCUCCGUUCCGUGAGCUGCCCCAGCCCUCCUCUCUGACAGGUUCCAUGUCAGCGGCCCACCAGCUCCAGGCCAUGCAGCAGGCCCAGAGCGCAGAGCUGCAGAUCCAGAGACUGGCCCUGGAACAGCAGUGGAUCCACCACCACCACCACCACUCCCUCACCCAGGACGAGUACUACAGCCACUUAAAGAAGGAAAGCGACAAGACCCUGUGAGGGAGGAAAAAGAGAGGGGGAACAAGCCCACGGAUGACAAACCCAAAGGAGGAAGAAAGGAGAGAAAUAUGUGCAAACAAAGAUAAAAAUAAAUAAAAAUGGAAGCACUAAAAACAAUGAAGGAAGAGUCAAAUGAAACCAUAGACUGGACACACAUAUCAUACCAUAGGAACCUGAUGAGAAAUGAACUGAUUGAGAAAACAGAUGAAAAAAGGGAGAGAGGGAUGAGUAAAACCGUUACUUACAGUCUGUGUUAUCUGAACUAUAUCAUAGCCCCAGACUCUGGGCAAGUCCCAGCGUAUGUUGUACAACUCCAGUCAGUUUUGUAUUGUGCCCUGUACAGUAUACUAGAUGGGAGCAGCAAUAUAGUGCAGUACAGUCCGUUGUAAAUGACCUUAUGCCAGGAAGAAUGUGUACAUCAGGCUCUCCUUUAUGUCAUUGCAUGUAGCUAGUCGCUUAUUCUGAACUGGUUGAACUCCUGGUUCUAUUUUUAGUAAUCGCCCUCUUUCCUAACGGACGGGCGGUGUAUGAGUAUGCAUGAGACCAAUGAUUAAGAAGUGUCAUAUUAUGUUAACGAUUAAUAGUAUUGUUAUUAUUAUUAAUGUUGUCUGUUUGUUGAUAAUUAUAUAAUUAUAUAUACAUAUUAUUUGUAUUAUUAUUUUUGUACAUUUUCAUGGUAUGGCGGUUUGUUUAGUUUUUUAUUGUGAAACGAGAUGCAAAUGAAGGAAAAAGACGGAAGAUAAACAACAUCAUUUU
Long non-coding RNA from Coregonus clupeaformis (lake whitefish), 1047 nucleotides. RefSeq lists it as uncharacterized. The record is from RefSeq and is a predicted model, not a curated record. The transcript is spliced from 2 exons. NCBI's taxonomy places the organism in Eukaryota, Metazoa, Chordata, Actinopteri, Salmoniformes, Salmonidae.